This is a non-coding RNA of Pelobates cultripes (western spadefoot toad), 145 nucleotides long. NCBI's taxonomy places the organism in Eukaryota, Metazoa, Chordata, Amphibia, Anura, Pelobatidae. The record is from the annotation of a GenBank genome assembly.
AUGAAUUAUAUCUGUUACCAAGUUACUAAACACACUCCGUUCUACAUUCUUAUCCUCUCACAGUGAGUUGAUUAUUAAACUCACUGUGAGAGGAUAAGAAUGUAGAACGGAGUGUGUUUAGUAACUUGGUAACAGAUAUAAUUCA